Non-coding RNA from Peromyscus maniculatus bairdii (prairie deer mouse), 2786 nucleotides. The record is from RefSeq and is a predicted model, not a curated record. NCBI's taxonomy places the organism in Eukaryota, Metazoa, Chordata, Mammalia, Rodentia, Cricetidae.
UUCCUAAAGGGACGACAACACCGAGAAGCAGUGGUUAGAACACUCCGAAGCUUCAACAUGUAUAACCCGCGUGUGUCAUGGCCUCCGCUGUCCACAGGAACAGGUUCCGGGGCUCAGGAACUUUAAAGUUCCAGUUUCAGGGCCAGACAGAUGGUUCAGUGGGUAAGCGUAGUGGCUGCUCUUCCAGAGGAUCUGGGUUUGAUUGCCAGCACCCAUGUGGCAGCUCACAAUCAUCUGUGACUCCGGUCCCAGGGGAUCCAAUGACCUCUUCUGGGCUCUAUGGCUCACAGGCAUACACGCACGCAGAAUACCCAAAAUAAAUAAAAAUAAAGGAAAAGACUUUUUUUCCCUAAAGGUUACAAUUUCAUUCUGACUUCACCAUGGGUACCUAUCGACACAAUGGAGGUCAGCUUGAGUCCCCAACCUCUGCUGAAUACAACUCCCUGGGAUUUGGCGUUGCCCUCCACCAGCAUGCCCCACAUCCCAUUGUUCUGGGUCACAUGACCCAGAAGCUGCCCUGGUUUCUUCCUUUCCUACCCUGACACGUGCCCAGUCUUGUAGCUUCCCCAUCUACUGUUUCUUUAUCUUUUCUCCAUCCUCACACAGCCACUCCCUGGGUUCUGACCUUAGACGGCCUUGCCUGGAUGGCUGUGGGACCCUUACUGGCCUUCCUCAGUUUAGCCUUUUCAUGUCACCACCUUCUGGGAAGGACUGUGCAUAGCUGGUCACUUCGCUUUGGGCGCCCUCACAGAGACCCCCUUCCUUCUGCCAUGGUGCUCUGGCCACACAGAGCCGGCCACCUUCCUUUCCCCCAGCACAUAACACACUCCUUCUUUCCCAUCUCCACCCCCUUUUAUAUAUCCUCCCGGGAGAUGUGCCUAAUCUUUACCUCUUCUAACCUCUGGAAAAAUCUCUUAGAAAACCAUUAACUGAACAAGAUAACCGAUGCCUAUCUCUACAACCCUUUACAGAUCACUAUGCAUUUUGCACGUAAAAUAUCUCACUGAAUGUGAGGUGGUAAUAAAUGCCUAGCAAAGCUGAUGAGAUCUGAGGGUAUCUGUCUGCUUCUCUCAUGUAUGGUAAAGACAAGCACACUUUAUAUAUCCCAUCACUAAUAGACCAUUUUCCUAGAUAAUGAUAGGACCUAUCAGUAGCACACCUUUUCGCUGUAUAACUUAAUGACCUGUGAAUACACACACCUUUUCUCUGAAUAGUAAAACGGCCUACGAGUGUGUCUACAUUUUCCAGCUGCACAGACAUGGACAGACAGGGCCACUGGCAAGAAAACUGCAUGCCAAUUGGCAUGAAGGCAGCAGAUAAGCUGUUCUCACAGUCAACCCCCGUUGUCUGAAAGCCCAAUUAACUUUGGAAAUAUUUUAAAAACGGAUGCCAAGAUGGAUUUACAUCGUUCAAAAGCAGAAAGCUGAAAAAAAUAAUCCAUCUUUUAAAAACAAUGUUUUAAAAUUCGAGUUUGCUAAUCUGGACAUGCGGUGGAGUCUAACAGAGCCCCGGGAGAGCUGCAGGGAAUUGUCUCUCGUAAAACAGAGCAUAUUUUAUUCUGCCUGAGGCUGAGCACAUAAAUGUUUAUAAACUAGGAAAUAAAAUGUCCAGACCCACAACACGGCUGUCAACACGAAUCCACAUCAACAACGGCUAUCCAUCAACGCGGCUCAAGUCUCCUGUCCUGGGCCAUUAUUUCAGGUUGCAGCAUUGGAAAUUGCACUCUAGCCUUGACUAUGCUAAACAUGUCGCACAUGCUGGCUCUACCACCAAAUCACACCCCAGUCCCUUCGUUACAACUUUUUUCACAGAAAAUAAAAAUGAAGAUUCAUGGAAGAAAAACAUUUACAGGACAGAUAACUAAUGGCUGUAUCUUUUCCAUAGUAGGAGGACUAGGUAGCUGAGUCUCUGGGACCUGACCUGAAUCCCACUGCUCAGGCCUGCAUGCCUCAUCCCUAGCUCCAUCCCUAUAGCCCAGAGUUUAUCUGGUAGAUGCUCCAAAGACAUGUGGGAAUGAAUUCAACUGUGACAUGUUCCCUUCUUAGAUGUAUUGUGAAAAUACCAUGCCCACAUCUUGCUUAACCCAGAAUAAUAAAUAUUAUGUCACCAUAGCAGUUAUUAAAAUAUGGGAAUAUUAAAAACAAAGGCUGGUGUGAGGUGAGGCUAUAGUUACACAUCAAAUUCCAUUAUUUCUUCUUUUUUAUUUUUUAUUAUCUUUUUUUAAAGAUUUAUUUAUUUAUUAUGUAUACAACAUUCUGCCUCCAUGUAUGGCUGAACACCAGGAGAGGGCACCAGAUCUCAUUAUAGAUGGCUGUGAGCCAUCAUGUGGUUGCUGGGAAUUGAACUCAGGACCUCCUGAAGAACAGCCAGUGUUUAUAACCUCUGAGCCAUCUCUCCAGCCCCUAUUAUUUCUUCUUGGAAACUUGUUCAGCAUCCACUCCUAGGUUUCAGAACCUUCCUGCUCGGUUCUUUCCUCUGGCAGCUGAUUAGAUACAGCAGCAUCCCAGGUUAGCUAUGGAGACAUCUCUAGAGAGUAGAAGAAGCAACAACCUAGAAGGAACCUCCCCCGGAAUGGCUAGAUGGGGCUGGGUGUCGGGAGUCUACCUUCACAUACGGAAGAGGUAGAUGUUUAGGGCGAGGCACCUUUGAGUCUCUCCGUUACAAUGCCUGGACUUGCCCUGACUACCCGAGGAUGUAUUUCUCCUCAGCAUAACUCAUAUGACGGUGGCCUCCUUGGGAAUCUGCUUUCGUGCUGACAACUGAGACAAUAAAAAAUAUUACUUCAA